UGUCACAGUGAUUGUGGUAAAGCAGAAUAUUGUCGAAAUGAAGGGAAUCACAGAAUACCACAGCAUGCAGAGGGAUCGGAAGGCUUGUGGCAGUUGCCUUGGAAGCUGCCAACUUCUGCAAUGCAUCGAGGCAGAGCGAUACUGUAGGGUGGAAGCUCACUAUCCAUGCGCUUAUUGCAUAUCAAUGAAAGACCGGGCAUCAAAAAUCAGGACAGGAACAUUUGAUUUGGGUUCUGCGUGACCACUUUAUUAAACGGUGAGUUCACAACUCCAUUAAAAAUCCACCCUUACACUGAGGACAGCUGAGAAGAUCAUUGGGGUCUCUUUCCACCGCCCACCCCCACCCAAUUGCCUUACUGCAUUUACACCACACCCCUCACUCAAACUCUUCUCCCAUCUGGCAGAAGUUACUGGAGCACUCGCUGUCACAGCGGCCAGACUGUGCAACAGUUUCUUGCCCCAAGCCAUCAGGCUCCUUUAACGCUGUAUGAUCGGGUGCUUUCCCACCUGCAAUUCUCUGCAGGACUUUAAAUUGCCGCUAGGAAAACGCUGUAACUUGCGUGUUUUGCACUUCUUAUGCACUUUAUGCCGUGUACGAGUGUGGAAUCUGUGCUGUCAAUGUAGCACCCUCUGUCCCGGAGAAACCCUGUCUCAUUUUUACUGUAUCAGUUGUAUGUGGUAGAAAUGACAAAUUAAAAGGCUACUCUCGUUCCUGCACUGUCGCCGGGUGAAAAUCCUGGAACGCCCUUUCAGACAGUAUCACAGCUGCCUGCACUCUAAGUACAGCAGUACAAGGAAACAACUAACUGUGCUGGCCAAUCUGUUCAAACACAUUUUGGCCGCAGUAGCAUUUGAACUCUUGUCUUCAGCAUUCCACCAUCCACAGCACUCUAUUUAGUACCGAUCCUUAUUGAUCUUCCAUCCCAACCUCCCUCCAUCUCCCUCGUCAGCCCUCUAUUCCUGUAAUUUGAGGAUUAGGCCCAUCCCCCUCCUGCUUCCCGCUAUUUCCUGUGACAGUCGGAACCCAGCUCUGCAGACCGAUGAAGAUGUUCGCCUUUUGUCUCCUUUGCGCUUUGCAGGUUCUCUCUGACUCGGCUUCAGCACAGCAUCUGAAAGACAGCAUGGUGGCUGCUACAGGUGCCCCCGUUCGAUUUCCGAGAACUGAUGAAGAAUUCAGCAGUCUCCAUUGGGAAUUUUCAACUUCUAGCAAAACACUUCCCAUUGUAGAUUACAACGAAGGGCAUUUGAUCCAUAUGAGGGUAGAGUUGAACUGAACAAAUCAGAUGGAUCAUUGUUGCUAAAAGAUGUGCACGAGGCAGACACUGGCAAUUACAGAAGAAUUGUGAACUCGAGGAGGACCAGAAUGGUAACUCUAACAGUGAUUGUAACUGCAGCCUCGAGCACCUCCCAGUGAUGCUGAACUGUGUGGUGCACGGAGGUAGGGCCCAUUAAGUUCAGUGGACCAGAGAAAGACUGGCUCCCAGCUCAUGAGCGUCAUUGGCUAUCGGAGGAUAAUAGUACUUUAAUCAUUCAGCACGCUCAGAAACCGGACUCUGGUUGCUGAACAUUCACUGUUGUAAAUCCAGUCAGCCAAAGCAACACCACCUACCAACUGUCUAUUAAAAGUCUUGGGUGUAAUUCCAGAGCUCAUUUUGGAUUAAUUGCAGCCAUUGUUGUGUGUUUGGCCGUGUUCCAAGGGCUUAUGCCCGAAACGUCGAUUCUCCUGCUCCUUGGAUGCUGCCUGACCUGCUGCGCUUUUCCAGCAACACAUUUUCAGCCGUGGCCCCAUUAGUAAUUA
Molecule: long non-coding RNA, 1798 nt
Organism: Chiloscyllium plagiosum (whitespotted bambooshark)
Lineage: Eukaryota; Metazoa; Chordata; Chondrichthyes; Orectolobiformes; Hemiscylliidae
Source: RefSeq, a predicted model, not a curated record